This 3960-nucleotide long non-coding RNA is filed under the name Sus scrofa (pig). RNAcentral's name for it is "lncRNA (ENSSSCG00000061355.1)". Lineage: Eukaryota; Metazoa; Chordata; Mammalia; Artiodactyla; Suidae. The record is from RNAcentral.
ACCAGGCUUUCAAGUCCUCCAAUAACCAUUGAACAACUUUACACCUGAGAGCGCGAACUAAGGUUUAAGAAAUAGGAUGUGAAGAGACUUCUCUAUCCCUCCAGGAAGUUUCUCUUGAGUAGAUUAGCAUACAUCACAGACCUCUUUGGCCUUGGGCAAGUUGCUCUCUAUACCUCAGUAUCCCAAUCUAGAAAAUUAGGAUACUAUAGUACAUACUCACCUCAGAAGCUUUUGAUAAGGAUUAGAGAUAAUUAAUGCAAAAUACUUAGCAUAGUCCCUCACAUAUAUUAAGUGUUACAUUAGGUGAUAAAUCAUAUCAGUUAUUUAAUCUAGUCCCUUCUUCUUUGUUUUCUUUUUCUUUUUCCUUUUUAGGGCCGCACCUGCAGCAUAUAGAAGUUCCCAGGCUAGGGGUCACGUCAGAGCUGCAGCUGCCAGUCUACGCCACAGCCACAGCAAUGGCAGAUCUGAGCCGCAUCUGUGGCCUAAGCCACACCUUGUGGCAAAACCGGACCCUUAACCCACUGAAUGAGGCCAGGGAUUGAAUCUGCGUCCUCAUGGAUACUAGUAGGAUUCUUCUUUUAUUUUUUAAUUUUGUUUUUAAGUCUCUUUCAUUCAUUGUAAUAUCCCAAAGUGCCUAGGACUCUGCCAGUUAGAAAUCCUCAAUAAAUAGUUGUUGAAUGAAUGAAUAAAGCAAGGAUCAAUGGAAAGAGAAAAGGAAAACAAAACAAAACAAAAGUCACACACCACACUCUUACCCACUGAAAAUGAGCCUGUGAAUGUAUUGAAAUUUCAGCACAUUUAAAGAAGUUUUCUAAAACAGCCAAAUCAACACGGAUAAGCCUCAAAACAUGGAUAAGCCUACUGGUGCUUCAAUGCAUAAUAUUAUUUAGAUACAAUUUUAGAACAUGAAUGAUAAUAUCCAUUGUUUAGAUAUUCAUGCAUAAGUAGUAAUAGUACUAAAAAUAGUAUUAAAGACAUUACCAAGGUAAUGGUAAAUUCAAGUGGUUACCUGUAGUGAGGGAGAGAGGGGCCUGAGUUUCUUGGACAGGACUAGUCGGAUUCUUAACCUGCUGAGCCACAGCAAGAAUUCCGCCUUCACUAUGUUUGAGAAAACAUGCAGAGGAACUAAAUGAUUAUCUCGAGUAUAAUAAAGAUAGGGGAAGGAGGAUAUCUGAUUUGCUUAUGAAGGUUUACAAACCUAAUUUCAGGGGGAACUGACCUCAAAUUUAAUGUUAAAAUAAUACAUUUAUUAAGAAAAACGGGGUUAAGACUAGAUGCUACAGCACUAAGAAAAAUGACAAGACAGGGCAACCUUCAAGACAAUUCAGGAUAUUUGAGGCUUAGAACUGAAAAUUGUUUAAUUCUCUUAAUGUGCUAAUUUAGUUUAUUUCUAUAUUCAAUGAAGUGGUGUCUGUGCAUUCACUAAAUAAGACAGUUUGUAAUGCCUCAUUCUUUUUUUUUUUCUAUUGAAUUAAGUACAACAUUAAAUCAUUGACAUGACCUUAAGAGAAUCAAUAUUGUCCCCGGGCACAAGACCACUCACUCCACAGCUUAAUUGGUCCUUAGCUUUCAGCUUUUGACUCUAGACUUAUCCAACACAGUAGCCACCAGCCACGUGUGGCUAUUAGGCCCUUGAUAUGUGGCUAGUCCAAAUUGAAUUGUGCUAAUAAGUGAAAAUACACGUUGAUUUUAAGGCUUUGGUUAAAAAAAAAAGCAAACUAUCCCAAUGAUUUUUAUUUAGCUUUUAUGUUUCUACUGGACAGCACUGCUCUGGACCCUGAGAUUUUUCAGCAGGUGGGGGUUAUCAGUCCUAAGGCCAAACAUUGCCCUUUCUAAACGUUCUCAGACUCCGGUGAUGUAACUCUGUCGCCCUUCCUGAAGGUCAGGCAACUCCAUUAUCCCAUUCAGAAAGGAGCCCCUAAAAGGAUGAAGAAGUUAAAGAACAGUUUUAAAUGUAGAUAACCAAGCGAAUCCACCUUUCAAAGAGUGGAAGACAAUAGGUGAUUAUCAACCCAAGGCGACCUCUAGAUUCAUCUUAAGAUUCCUGAUCGGCUCUCUUAUUUUACUUGGAUUAUCUCUUUUAAUUGUCACAACGACUCUAACAUUUAGGUGCUAUGAUUUCAUCCAUUUGACAAAUGAGUAAUGGGAAGUUAGGGAGCUAGCAGGCAUGGUGUAGAGUUUGGCCCUAGUUUGUCCAGUUUGACCCUAGUUUGUGCCAUAUCUAUCGAGAUGAUGAGCACCUUGUAUGUGCUGUGCCUUGUCCUUAUAUGACCUAACAGACACAUACUAGGUGACAAGUAUGUGUAGUAAAGUGUACAUAUAGUAUGACUUCAACUAUGAAGCUAUAUAUCUAUAUGUGAAUAUAUAUUUCACCCUUCAACUUUUCCAUAUCUUCCAAACUUUUGACAAUAUACAAUACUGUUUUUGUGUCUCUCCAUUAUUAUUUAAAUCACACAAAAUGUCACUUUAAGAGAACAUACAAGGCUGCGGACAUGGGCUCUGUGUGCUGUGACCACUCCCCUCUCCUUCCCAUUCCCCUUCGAGCUGGUGUCCCUCUCUUCCAUUUUGCGUCUCCAUUCUUUCUCUUUCAACCUCUCUUCUACUUUUUCACUUCUCCUCCCGCCUCCCCUCUCCCUUCUUUUUGAGAAGACUGACAUUGAAUCAAAUGUUACUUCUUACCUGGUGGUUUCAAGCAGAUUCUUUGAGCCUCUGGAGUCCCAAGGAAGGUGCUCAAGUUGGGGGCAGGGCGCUUAAGGGCAAGACUUCUAAAAAGGAUGAUUUUGGAUAAAAUAAAUGGUGGGAGAGGAUUUCCCCUUGUGGCUCAGGGGAACCUGACUAGUAUCCAUGAGGCUGGGGCUUCAAUUCCUGGCCCCGCUCAAUUAAGAUCCAGCAUUGCGUGAGCUGUGGUAUGGGUCACAGACACGGCUCAGAUCCAGUGCUGCUGUGUGGGAGCUGUCACUCCGCUUUGACCCCUAGCCAGUGAACUUCCAUAUGCUGCACCUGCGGCCCUUAAAAAAAAAAAAGUGGGGGAGAGCAUUGCAGGGUGAGUGACAAAAGCAGCGGAAACUAAGGUCUGAGGAUUCCUUCAGUGAAAGAGAGAUGAGUAGAGGGUCUCUUACCUUACUGGGAUUACUGCCUCCCUGUGCAGGAACUCAGAGAGGAUGUGGACCUUAGCUGAUUUGACCUCCUGGAUUGAAUUAGUCCUGGGUGUAUAAUUGACUUUGAUAUGUGGCCUUUGGAUCUGAAUUGGGUUUAAUAAGAUUUAACUGCUUCAGAGGGCUUUAUAAGAAUUCAUUUUAUCUUUCAAAUCUGAUUUCAAAUGCUACCUACUUUGAAAGGCCUUCUCUGACUUUGGUGCUCUUCCUCCAGCACUCCUAUUGUGCCACAGUUGAUACAUACCUUAUUCACACAAUUACCUACAUUGCAUUGUAUCUUACUCUAUGGGAAAUGGUUCCUUUAUGCCUUGCUUCAGGAAUCCUUAGGGAUAUGCAUGUAUCUUAUUCAUAUUUGUAUCCUAGGCCUAGCACAGACCAGGAGCACACUUAGUUGAACAGCAGGUGUUCAAUAAUGAUUUUUUUUAAAGGAUAUUAAUAGCUAACAUGCAGUCGCACUGUGACAAGCCUUAUGCCUACACUGUUUCAUCCACUGGAUACUUUAGGAGAAAAGUACUUUUAUUAUCCCUAUUUUACAAUGAGAAGACUGAGCAUAAGAAAUUAAUUUAGGAGUUCCCGUUGUGGCGCAGUGGCUAACGAAUCCGACUAGGAACCAUGAGGUUGCGGGUUCGGUCCCUGCCCUUGCUCAGUGGGUUAAGGAUCCGGCGUUGCCGUGAGCUGUGGUGUAGGUUGCAGACGCGGCUCGGAUCCCGAUUGCUGUGGCUCUGGCGUAGGCCGGUGGCUACAGCUCCGAUUGGACCCCUAGCCUGGGAACCUCCGUAUGUCGUGGGAGCAGCCCAAGAAAUAG